RNAcentral lists this transfer RNA (72 nucleotides) under Ornithorhynchus anatinus (platypus). It matches the Rfam family "tRNA". Rfam says of the family: Transfer RNA (tRNA) molecules are approximately 80 nucleotides in length. Their secondary structure includes four short double-helical elements and three loops (D, anti-codon, and T loops). Lineage: Eukaryota; Metazoa; Chordata; Mammalia; Monotremata; Ornithorhynchidae. The record is from Rfam by way of RNAcentral.
AGCAGUGUGGCUCAGUGGAAAGAGCCUGGGCUUUGGAGUCAGAGGUCAUGAGUUCAAAUCCCGCCUCUGCCA